AUGUGCAAGCCACAAGCCCAGGCUUACAGCGGGAAUAUUGGUAAAAACAACAGGUUAACACUUAGCCUGGAUGCAAUUGAUCCACUGCUCCAACAGCUGAAAGGAGGGAAAAUAGCAAUUGCCUUUUCUUGGAGAAGUCACCAAGCAGAAAGAUCUCUGGCCUUUUGUUCCCUGGAAACCCACCAGUGAUGUUCGAACCUUUUACAAAGAGCUCGCAUAGAUGUUAUCUAAGGCUACCCCAACGAAGACUCUUCUGGGUAGGCAAGAAAGGAAUUAUUCUCCUCGUUUAGAAGACAGCAAAAGUGAAACUCAGAGAGACUGAGUGCUUUGCUCAAGGUCACCCAACCAGUCAAUACCCAGGGCUUCACAUCCUGGUAUUUUGAACUGCAGAGUAAGUGUUGCUUCCUCUUUUCAUUGCUUCUUGUUGGAAUGAGAACAUACAUUGAAUGACAAAUUGACUUCCCUGCAUUUAGAUUGUUUGUCCCACCUGCCCUUCCUUAGCUCCCGCACUGGCUUCCUAAGUUGGCUUCAGAUCCCUAGUGACUGCCUUCCCAUUCCCCGCUUGCCAUCACCAGAAUUACAAUUCUACAGAAACAAACUUAGUCGUGCCGUUGACCUGUUAGCAACUUCUGCUGUCUCCUCAUCCUCCACCCUCAGCCCUCAGAACUUUCCCUCUUAAUCCUAACAGGAAGAUGGUGGAGGUGUGAGAUGGAACCCAAAGCGUCUGAUUUGAAUCUCCUUGAAAUCUCAUGUAUUAUCACCUCAAGUUUAUGAACUUUCAUGAUAGUCAAUAUAUUUUUGUUUUAAAAAACGAUUUUCCUCUUAAAAUCUUUAAUUAAAUAAAUGCCCUGAAAGCUGCCUCAUCUCUAUCAUCUGACUCUAUGUG
Molecule: long non-coding RNA, 886 nt
Filed under: Chinchilla lanigera (long-tailed chinchilla)
Lineage: Eukaryota; Metazoa; Chordata; Mammalia; Rodentia; Chinchillidae
Description: lncRNA (ENSCLAG00000024992.1)
Source: RNAcentral